RNAcentral lists this transfer RNA (76 nucleotides) under bacterium. RNAcentral describes it as "tRNA-His". It matches the Rfam family "tRNA". Rfam says of the family: Transfer RNA (tRNA) molecules are approximately 80 nucleotides in length. The record is from RNAcentral.
GUGAGCUUAGCUCAGUUGGUAGAGCAUCAGGUUGUGGUUCUGAGGGUCGUGGGUUCGAUCCCCACAGCUCACCCCA